GGCCAAGUUUUUAAGGGCGCACGGUGGAUGCCUUGGCACCAGGAACCGAUGAAGGACGUGGGAGGCCACGAUAGUCCCCGGGGAGUCGUCAACCAGGCUUUGAUCCGGGGGUUUCCGAAUGGGGAAACCCGGCAGUCGUCAUGGGCUGUCACCCGCUGCUGAACACAUAGGCAGUGUGGAGGGAACGCGGGGAAGUGAAACAUCUCAGUACCCGCAGGAAGAGAAAACAACCGUGAUUCCGGGAGUAGUGGCGAGCGAAACCGGAUGAGGCCAAACCGUAUGCGUGUGAGACCCGGCAGGGGUUGCGUAUACGGGGUUGUGGGAUCUCUCUUUCACGGUCUGCCGGCCGUGAGACGAGUCAGAAACCGUUGAUGUAGGCGAAGGACAUGCGAAAGGUCCGGCGUAGAGGGUAAGACCCCCGUAGUCGAAACGUCAGCGGCUCGUUUGAGAGACACCCAAGUAGCACGGGGCCCGAGAAAUCCCGUGUGAAUCUGGCGGGACCACCCGCUAAGCCUAAAUAUUCCCUGGUGACCGAUAGCGGAUAGUACCGUGAGGGAAUGGUGAAAAGUACCGCGGGAGCGGAGUGAAAUAGUACCUGAAACCGUGUGCCUACAAGCCGUGGGAGCGUCGGAUGGAAGCUUGCUUCCAUCUCGUGACUGCGUGCCUUUUGAAGAAUGAGCCUGCGAGUUUGCGGUGUGUUGCGAGGUUAACCCGGGUGGGGAAGCCGUAGCGAAAGCGAGUCCGAAUAGGGCGUUUCAGUAGCACGCUCAAGACCCGAAGCGGAGUGAUCUAGCCAUGGGCAGGUUGAAGCGGAGGUAAGACUUCGUGGAGGACCGAACCCACCAGGGUUGAAAACCUGGGGGAUGACCUGUGGUUAGGGGUGAAAGGCCAAUCAAACUCCGUGAUAGCUGGUUCUCCCCGAAAUGCAUUUAGGUGCAGCGUCGUGUGUUUCUUGCCGGAGGUAGAGCACUGGAUAGGCGAUGGGCCCUACCGGGUUACUGACCUUAGCCAAACUCCGAAUGCCGGUAAGUGAGAGCGCGGCAGUGAGACUGUGGGGGAUAAGCUCCAUGGUCGAGAGGGAAACAGCCCAGAGCAUCGACUAAGGCCCCUAAGCGUACGCUAAGUGGGAAAGGAUGUGGAGUCGCACAGACAACCAGGAGGUUGGCUUAGAAGCAGCCACCCUUGAAAGAGUGCGUAAUAGCUCACUGGUCUAGUGAUUCCGCGCCGACAAUGUAGCGGGGCUCAAGCGUACCGCCGAAGUCGUGUCAUUGCAGCAAUACGGCCAACGCCGGCUGUGAUGGGUAGGGGAGCGUCGUGUGCCGGGUGAAGCAGCACCGGAAGGUAGUUGUGGACGGUUCACGAGUGAGAAUGCAGGCAUGAGUAGCGAUUCACACGUGAGAAACGUGUGCGCCGAUUGACUAAGGGUUCCUGGGUCAAGCUGAUCUGCCCAGGGUAAGUCGGGACCUAAGGCGAGGCCGACAGGCGUAGUCGAUGGAUAACCGGUUGAUAUUCCGGUACCCGCUGUGAAGCGUCAAACAUCGAAUCCAGUGAUGCUAAGCCCGUGAAGCCGUUCCGGACCCUUCGGGGAAAGGAAAGUGGUGGAGCCGGUGACCCGAUCUGGUAGUAGGUGAGUGAUGGGGUGACGCAGGAAGGUAGUCCAGCCCGGGCGGUGGUUGUCCCGGGGUAAGGGUGUAGGCCGUGCGGUAGGUAAAUCCGUCGCACACAAGGCUGAGACCUGAUGCCGAGCCGAUUGUGGUGAAGUGGAUGAUCCUAUGCUGUCGAGAAAAGCCUCUAGCGAGUUUCAUGGCGGCCCGUACCCUAAACCGACUCAGGUGGUCAGGUAGAGAAUACCGAGGCGUUCGGGUGAACUAUGGUUAAGGAACUCGGCAAAAUGCCCCCGUAACUUCGGGAGAAGGGGGGCCACAUCUGGUGAUGAGCUUUGCGCUCUGAGCUGGGGGUGGCCGCAGAGACCAGCGAGAAGCGACUGUUUACUAAAAACACAGGUCCGUGCGAAGCCGUAAGGCGAUGUAUACGGACUGACGCCUGCCCGGUGCUGGAACGUUAAGGGGACCGGUUAGCUCCAUUUCGGUGGGGCGAAGCUGAGAACUUAAGCGCCAGUAAACGGCGGUGGUAACUAUAACCAUCCUAAGGUAGCGAAAUUCCUUGUCGGGUAAGUUCCGACCUGCACGAAUGGCGUAACGACUUCUCGACUGUCUCAACCAUAGGCCCGGUGAAAUUGCACUACGAGUAAAGAUGCUCGUUUCGCGCAGCAGGACGGAAAGACCCCGGGACCUUUACUACAGUUUGAUAUUGGUGUUCGGUUCGGCUUGUGUAGGAUAGCUGGGAGACUGUGAAGCGCUAACGCCAGUUAGUGUGGAGUCGUCGUUGAAAUACCAGUCUGGUCGUGCUGGAUGUCUAACCUGGGUCCGUGAUCCGGAUCAGGGACAGUGUCUGAUGGGUAGUUUAACUGGGGCGGUUGCCUCCUAAAGAGUAACGGAGGCGCCCAAAGGUUCCCUCAGCCUGGUUGGCAAUCAGGUGUUGAGUGUAAGUGCACAAGGGAGCUUGACUGUGAGACCGACGGGUCGAGCAGGGACGAAAGUCGGGACUAGUGAUCCGGCGGUGGCUUGUGGAAGCGCCGUCGCUCAACGGAUAAAAGGUACCCCGGGGAUAACAGGCUGAUCUUCCCCAAGAGUCCAUAUCGACGGGAUGGUUUGGCACCUCGAUGUCGGCUCGUCGCAUCCUGGGGCUGGAGUCGGUCCCAAGGGUUGGGCUGUUCGCCCAUUAAAGCGGUACGCGAGCUGGGUUUAGAACGUCGUGAGACAGUUCGGUCCCUAUCCGCUGUGCGCGUAGGAGUCUUGAGAAGGGCUGUCCCUAGUACGAGAGGACCGGGACGGACGAACCUCUGGUGUGCCAGUUGUUCUGCCAAGGGCAUGGCUGGUUGGCUACGUUCGGGAGGGAUAACCGCUGAAAGCAUCUAAGCGGGAAGCCUGCUUCGAGAUGAGGACUCCCACCUCCUAGAGAGGGUAAGGCUCCCAGUAGACGACUGGGUUGAUAGGCCGGAUAUGGAAGCACGGUAACGUGUGGAGUUGACCGGUACUAAUAGGCCGAGGGCUUGUCCUC
RNAcentral lists this ribosomal RNA (3120 nucleotides) under Streptomyces sp. HP-A2021. RNAcentral's name for it is "23S ribosomal RNA". It matches the Rfam family "Bacterial large subunit ribosomal RNA". The record is from RNAcentral. Lineage: Bacteria; Bacillati; Actinomycetota; Actinomycetes; Kitasatosporales; Streptomycetaceae.